RNAcentral lists this long non-coding RNA (675 nucleotides) under Triticum aestivum (bread wheat). RNAcentral describes it as "long non-coding RNA (TAES_LNC023360)". Lineage: Eukaryota; Viridiplantae; Streptophyta; Magnoliopsida; Poales; Poaceae. The record is from RNAcentral.
AAAGGGCAAUAAAUUUCCUUACCUGUGCUUAGACAUUACAUCCUUAUCUAUGUGUGUACUCAUACACUGUUUAAACAUUAUCAGCUUCGAAUUAUUAAUCCAUUCCAUUUUGUCGACUCACUAGCCCCAGGAUCAUUCAAAGCUAGGAAGCACGGUCGAUACAGAAAUUCCAUACAUUAAACAACGUAGUCUUACACAAUGUCUAACUUAUUACAUGGCACCUCGAUGGCACUAAGGGAACAAGCACAACUUCCUCAUUUGGCAGAGGAAACAUACAGCACACUCGAGCACGGAGAGUGAUGAAACUAAGGGAACAAGCACAACUUCCUCAUUUGGCAGACAAAACAUACAUCACACUCGAGCACAGCGAGACGUCAUCCUCACACGAACAGCCAAUUGAGAAUACACUAGUCAUCAUACCCACUAGCGAACUCAGUAUCACGAUAAUCGUCAGCUUAUGCAUCUGGCCAAAUCAACAAGUCAAGUGAGCACGCUGAAUGAUCGCGAGCCAAUCAAGAGCAGAGGAUAAAAUGAAUGCAUGCUGAUCUAGAUGCUUAUGACAUACAAUCUGCUCAACAAUACAUUUCAGCAUCGACAUGGCAGAAGCAUCCCACUUGCAGUGAACGGAAGUACAAGUAACAUGCAAGUAAAUAUUAGUUGAUGAAUGAUAUAAAG